This 238-nucleotide ribosomal RNA is filed under the name uncultured bacterium. RNAcentral describes it as "partial 16S ribosomal RNA". It matches the Rfam family "Bacterial small subunit ribosomal RNA", at positions 524 to 758 of the family's 1533-position model. The record is from RNAcentral.
UACGUAGGGCGCAAGCGUUGUCCGGAAUUAUUGGGCGUAAAGAGCUACGUAGGCGGUUUGUCGCGUCUGCUGUGAAAACCUAAGGCUCAACCUUGGGCUUGCAGUGGGUACGGGCAGACUAGAGUGCGGUAGGGGUGACUGGAAUUCCGUGGUGAUAGCGGUGAAAUGCGCAGAUAUCAGGAGGACACCGAUGGCGAAGGCAGGUCUCUGGGCCGACUACUGACGCUGAGAAGCGAAA